UGGCCAGUCGGGUGAGCACCGUCUUGUCUUGGGAGUCGAACUGAAUCAUUACACCAUUGUCGAUUCAACGGCCAUGGAUUAGUGAUGAUCAUGCACAAUUUAUCUGGAGGGUGGCGGUAGUGCGCUAAGUUAGUCCGCAUCCGCUGUUAAACAAGCAACUGAAGAAGAGUAGAAGAACGGCCAUAGAUGCGCUUGCCUUAGUUGAGUGUGGAGACUCCAAUGUUUGGCAUGGAAAAUCACUGCAGUGACCGCACACAACCUCCGGUAAGUAAUUGCAAAGUUUAUUUCAGUGCUGUUGCCACACAAUAUGUUUUUGAGGUGUCCUUACAUGCAGAAUCCCUUUCAGUCUUAUGGCUAAGAAACCGAGAAUGUGCAACACCUUUUUACCAGAAACCUGCCUGGUUUCAUUCAUCAGCCCAACUCCAUAAAUUACAGGGCAGGCCAGUAGAAUUAGUUUUUUUAUGUUGGAGGAAGACCUGUCUUUUAAGUUUCAUGUUGAGAAUUACUCACCAAGAGGAAUGAAUGGAAUAAUAUUUAUAUUUAAAAAAUAGUGUUGGGGAAAGAAAAAGCGGAAUCAAUUUGUGGCCCUUUAUGUUGAUUCUUUGGUGCUGCGCCACACAUUGGUCUAUGGAUGGAGAAAACAUUGUAGUUAGGUUAAUGAUGGGUUGGAUGGGGUGAUGUUCAAAUAAUAUGUUACAGUGGAUAUAAGCAAAUUGCACAUUUCUUAUCAAUGGUUGCCUGUUCCAGAGAUAAUAUCCAAUCUGAUAAUUUUAAGGUACAACAUAGUGGUGUUUGGAAUCAUCGAUGGCUUUUCCCGGAAGGUUUUGUACCUCAAUGCGGCUGGGAAUAAUAAGGCAGAGACUGGUUUGAGGUUUUUCAUGGAGAGUGUGCAGAAACAUGGAUGGCCAUCAAGAGUACGCGGUGACCAAGGCGUAGAAAAUGUGGAGAUAGCAAGAUCCAUGUUCACUGUGCGAGGAACAGGUCGUGGCAGCUUUAUAGCUGGGAAAAGUGUGCACAACCAAAGGUGAAGAUGGUCUAUGUUAUUACUUUCCUCUCAAUCCAGGGUUCACAUUGUAUCCUACCUACAGUGAGCUACAUCCAUCCCAACAAUUAGCUUGAUUAUGUUUGACACCUGAUAGUAACCUGAUUGCAAGUCCCCCAAACUACGGGGGUAUUACAUAUACAUCCUAGGGGGAGCCUUGUCUGUUUUUUUUCAGGCAUGAAGAACUGCUCUACAGAUAUCGUUUGAGAGGUAUUACCUGAAGUAGACUGAUAUCUAGCGGAAUAGACAAGAAGCCACAGGCACCAAAGCUGAUACUAGUCCAGACUACCGUUUUGACAAAAGCAUUACUUCUGCCCUUGGCAUCGAUUGACUAAUCAUUACAAUUGAUGCCGCUGUUUAUUAAACUUCAGAGUGGAAAAGACACUUUCCCUUACACUAGACCAACCGUCAGUCAAUUGGAUUCUAACUUUUGUAGCCAGGCUAAUAUAAUUUUGUAAAUACUAGUAUUUUUUUUCUCAGUGCAAUUGACCACUUUACCAUGUAACAAAUUUGCAGAGUGGAAUGACUAUGGAGAGAUGUGUGAAACGCUGUAACAUCUCAGUACUACAACAUGCUUCACACCUUGGAGGAAGAGGGGUUUGUAGACCUCUCAAAUGUUGUUCACCUCUUCUGUCUUGGGUACGUUUUCAUUCCACGUCUACAAGCAGACCUUCAAAACUUUGUAGAGACAUGGAAUUGUCACCCCUUGAGGACCGAAGCAAACCUGACCCCUAAUCAGCUUUGGAGAAUUGGGAGGAUGCAAGUACCGUUGCAAGAGCCAGAUCUGUCUGAGAUCGAACACUUGCAUGACCAGGAAGCUUGUGGUGCUGAUCCAGAACAUGGAGUCAUAGUACCAGAAACUGCAUGCCCCUUGUCAGCUGAGGCUAUUGCGGCCUUACAAGAUAUUAACUCCACUGCAGAGUCCUCUUCUCUUGGGCGGGAUAUCUAUAUGCAUGCUCUUCAAUUGGUCUCAUUCCUUUUGAUGCAGCAAAGUUGGUGAUGACGGUGAUGUGGGGUUCCAACAACUACAAGAGGACCUAAGGGCCAUAUCCACACAGCAACUCCUUACACAAGCAACAAUGGGAUAAAGCAGUCUCCGUGUAAGAGACCUCCAAUGCCUGCUCUAUAGUGAUAGGGUAAUGGUGGCCAUAAUAUGAAAAAUUGUCAGAAUGUUCAGUUUGUGUUAACUGUUUCUAGGACAUGUUGAAUCAACUGUAUGAUCUUUUGUAAGGAUCUCUUUCUCCGCACUAGCAUGUCAAUCAGCUGUGCAAGGAGGCUCCAGCCCACAAGUGUUUUUUUUGUGACACAUUCUGGUAAUAAACUGAUAGUUGGUGAUCUUA
Perca flavescens (yellow perch) is the source of this 2382-nucleotide long non-coding RNA. RefSeq lists it as uncharacterized. The transcript has 6 exons. The record is from RefSeq and is a predicted model, not a curated record. NCBI's taxonomy places the organism in Eukaryota, Metazoa, Chordata, Actinopteri, Perciformes, Percidae.